UACAGUCUGACACUGAGGACAAACAGGAGAAGAUCAUUUUACAGCAGGUUCUCAGCAUCUUUACGUUCGACCUCGUCUCCACCAUGAAGAUCCUGACUCUGUUUUUCUGUGUGUGCACCAUGUUGGCUCUGAACAGAGCUGAUGAUGAGAAGACCAAUACCACUCUCAUGUCUGUGUCCCUAUUAUAAAGCCACAUCCAGCAGCUGGUUACUCUGACUUAGCACCGAGACUGGAA
Monopterus albus (swamp eel) is the source of this 235-nucleotide long non-coding RNA. RefSeq lists it as uncharacterized. The transcript is spliced from 3 exons. NCBI's taxonomy places the organism in Eukaryota, Metazoa, Chordata, Actinopteri, Synbranchiformes, Synbranchidae. The record is from RefSeq and is a predicted model, not a curated record.